AACCUGCGGAAGGAUCAUUAUCGAAUUCUGGAGUGGAGUGGGGAACACGUCGAGUGGGAGACUGUCGCUGGCCUCUCGGGGCAUGUCGCACGUCUUCCCUUUUCGUUGACCUUUCUCCUUCUCUCUCUCUCUCUCUCACACCUGUGCACCCGUCGUAGGUCCUCGAAAGAGGAUCUAUGUAUUUUUCAUAUCACACCCCAUCGUAUGUCUAUAGAAUGUAUUGAAAACGUCGACCUGUCUUGACAGGCCUGACGGUUCAUAAAUCCAUACAACUUUCAGCAACGGAUCUCUUGGCUCUCGCAUCGAUGAAGAACGCAGCGAAUUGCGAUAAGUAAUGUGAAUUGCAGAUUUUCAGUGAAUCAUCGAAUCUUUGAACGCACCUUGCGCUCCUUGGUAUUCCGAGGAGCAUGCCUGUUUGAGUGUCAUCGAAUUCUCAACCAUGUCUUGAUCGAUUUCAAGGCCAUGGCUUGGAGUUGGGGGUUGCUGGCGGCGACGAGCUGUCGGCUCUCCUGAAAUGCAUUAGCAAAGGGCAGCAAGUCUUUGACGUGCACGGCCUUCGACGUGAUAAUGAUCGUCGUGGCUGGAGCGUCGGACAUGCAUGAAUAGGUCCUGUGCUUCUAAUCUCUCCCAUGCCGACGGCGUGU
This 644-nucleotide ribosomal RNA is filed under the name Suillellus luridus. RNAcentral describes it as "eukaryotic LSU rRNA". The stretch from base 271 to 425 matches the Rfam family "5.8S ribosomal RNA". The record is from RNAcentral. Lineage: Eukaryota; Fungi; Basidiomycota; Agaricomycetes; Boletales; Boletaceae.